Molecule: ribosomal RNA, 419 nt
Filed under: uncultured bacterium
Lineage: Bacteria
Description: bacterial SSU rRNA
Rfam family: Bacterial small subunit ribosomal RNA
Source: RNAcentral
GGAAUUUUGGACAAUGGGCGAAAGCCUGAUCCAGCAAUGCCGCGUGCAGGAUGAAGGCCCUCGGGUUGUAAACUGCUUUUGUACGGAACGAAAAGCCUGAGGCUAAUAACCUCCGGUCAUGUCGGUAUCGUAAGAAUAAGCACCGGCUAACUACUUGCCAGCAGCCGCGGUAAUACGUAGGGUGCAAGCGUUAAUCGGAAUUACUGGGCGUAAAGCGUGCGCAGGCGGUUUUGUAAGACAGUGGUGAAAUCCCCGGGCUCAACCUGGGAACUGCCAUUGUGACUGCAAGGCUGGGGUGCAGCAGAGGGGGAUGGAAUUCCGCGUGUAGCAGUGAAAUGCGUAGAUAUGCGGAGGAACACCGAUGGCGAAGGCAAUCCCCUGGGCCUGCACUGACGCUCAUGCACGAAAGCGUGGGGAGC